CGAGUGGCGGACGGGUGAGUAAUGCUUGGGAAUCUGGCUUAUGGAGGGGGAUAACUACGGGAAACUGUAGCUAAUACCGCGUAGUAUCGAGAGAUUAAAGUGUGGGACCUUCGGGCCACAUGCCAUAGGAUGAGCCCAAGUGGGAUUAGGUAGUUGGUGAGGUAAAGGCUCACCAAGCCGACGAUCAGUAGCCGACCUGAGAGGGUGACCGGCCACAUUGGGACUGAGACACGGCCCAA
This 239-nucleotide ribosomal RNA is filed under the name uncultured bacterium. RNAcentral's name for it is "partial 16S ribosomal RNA". It matches the Rfam family "Bacterial small subunit ribosomal RNA", at positions 92 to 334 of the family's 1533-position model. The record is from RNAcentral.